CUGGGAUUUCGGUCCACUCGCUCCGAUGCCUCACUUUUUGUGUAUCAUCAGGGAGCUGCCACUGCAUAUCUGCUGCUCUACAUCGAUGAUAUCAUCCUCACGGCAUCCACCCCCGAUCUCCUUCAGCGGCUGACUGCUCGUCUUCGUGAUGAGUUCGACCUCAAGGACUUGGGGCCCCUGCACUACUUUCUCGACAUCGAGGUAAUCCGCCGGGCUGACGGUUUCUUUCUGCAUCAGCAGAAGUACGCCCACGAGCUCCUUGAGCGUGCCGGUAUGCUUAACUGCAAGCCGGCGCCCACUCCCGUCGACACGAAGGCGAAGGUCUCUGCUUUGGAGGGGUCUCUCGCGUCCGAUGGAGCAUUUUAUCGCUCUAUUGUCGGUGCUUUACAGUACUUGAUGCUGACUCGCCCCGACCUGCAGUACGCUGUUCAGUAG
Molecule: ribosomal RNA, 435 nt
Filed under: Triticum aestivum (bread wheat)
Lineage: Eukaryota; Viridiplantae; Streptophyta; Magnoliopsida; Poales; Poaceae
Description: partial small subunit ribosomal RNA
Source: RNAcentral